Long non-coding RNA from Daphnia pulicaria, 1377 nucleotides. RefSeq lists it as uncharacterized. NCBI's taxonomy places the organism in Eukaryota, Metazoa, Arthropoda, Branchiopoda, Diplostraca, Daphniidae. The record is from RefSeq and is a predicted model, not a curated record. The transcript is spliced from 8 exons.
GAGCUGUCAGUUCAGUUGUCCCAAUGUCCCUGUCCGUACAGAGCUGCGUACAAUCCGUAGUCUACAACACGUGUUUGUUUAUCCUUUACGCUAUCGUCCCAUUGAUUACUUUUUUAACUUCCUCGUUAAAUCUGCACUGAAGAACAAAAUCCCGGAUGGAUUUAAUUUGCUCGACCUGGAAAAAUGUGACACCAUUGAGAAAAAGACGAGUAAAAUUGGCGUCCGAUUCAUGAAGGACGGUUUAAACUGUUUAAUUCGACAUCAACAUGAAAGUGUGGCUGGUUUUGCUGCUUUGGAGCUGGUGAACUACAAUUGUUUUCGUUCGCUGCUGAAGAGAGAUAGAUGCCUUUUACAUUCAAUCUUCAGGUUACCAUGAGAGCGGUCCACUCUCAUGGUGGUUAAACUGGGGUCGGAGCUUCUAAGAAGGUGCAUUCCCGAGUGGCGCCAUCGUUCGUGGUGCAUGGAUCAGUGUCAUUUUGAAUGGGAAUCAAAGCAGGAUGGAGACUGUCGGUUCGUCUCUGUGUCAUAUCACGGCCACGGAGUUUUAGGAUACAUCCGCACUUGGGUGCAAGAACAACCCCCCCCCCCCCCCCUCGUAGGCCUUUUGGCUUUUGUUUCAGGCGUCGGCAUCUAUUACGCUGUCUAACGUCAAAGGCGGGUCAGAACAGCAAAAAGAAAAAGUGUGAUGGUGACAUGCCGUGCGGUCCGAAUGUUGUAAACAUUCGUGUUCGGGAUGACCUGACGCGUUCUCUUCUCCGGUUGCCUUUGUAAUCCUUGGACAAAAGGAAAUUUCAACUGGGACAAAGGCACCCCUUGAUAGACUUAGGACUACAAGCCUACAACACAUCGUCCAGUCGUGUUCGAAGAAUCCUUAAAAAAGCCAACGAUCCUUUAUAUAUCAGAGCCGAGUCCUUUCCGUCUACAUUCGGUGUGAAGAGCAAAACCCGAAUUUCAACCCAUUUUACUGCUUAGCAACGAAAACAAAGCGAGUGUCAAAACAUUGUUUUACUUGCGCAUACUUUAUUGUGGCAGAAACGCGUUGGUCAUGUAACAGGGUGAAAUUUUUUUUUCCCUUUUGUUCAUGCAGCAUCAAACGACACGCGAUAGGUUCUAGCGGUAAUCAACUAUUCAAGAUGGUAGACCUGUCAAUGUAAAAGACAGGAUUUUCUUCUCCGACCGCAGGUGCAAGGAUUAUGUGUUUGAAACUUAGAAAAGUUUGCAGUAGAAUAUUUAAAAAAAAAAGCCGACUGUCUUUCAAACGGUUCGAAAUGGAAGAUUUAUUCAUUCACCGAAGAAACGAGUCAAAUGACUCAAAUGUCAAAUGUGGUAUUUUUAAAACCCAUCCCCAGCAACGUUAACCUGCAGAAAGAAAAAGGC